ACCCCUGGUAACAGGUGAGAAAUGCUGC
RNAcentral lists this non-coding RNA (28 nucleotides) under Mus musculus (house mouse). Lineage: Eukaryota; Metazoa; Chordata; Mammalia; Rodentia; Muridae. The record is from RNAcentral.